GUUUUCUUUAUAUUUUACUGAAGCUUCAGUGCAUUCAUACAUAUUUUUUAACACUUUAUAUAAUUUAGGUCUCAUAUUAUCAGUCUUGAUCAAUUUAUAUAGAAGGCCUAGUCUCCAAACUGAGUCAAAUGCCUUCUUCAAAUCUACAAAACAUCCAAAUAAUUUUUGGUUUUUAUUAUUUAUAUAUUUAUUAAUAACUGUUUUUAAAAUAAACAAACUAUCUGAAGUUCUAUUAUUCUUUCGGAAUCCAAACUGUGCUGGAU
RNAcentral lists this long non-coding RNA (263 nucleotides) under Mytilus galloprovincialis (Mediterranean mussel). The record is from RNAcentral. Lineage: Eukaryota; Metazoa; Mollusca; Bivalvia; Mytilida; Mytilidae.